RNAcentral lists this microRNA precursor (92 nucleotides) under Carica papaya (papaya). The record is from RNAcentral. Lineage: Eukaryota; Viridiplantae; Streptophyta; Magnoliopsida; Brassicales; Caricaceae.
UGUUGGCAUGGUUCAAUCAAAUUAAAGCUCUCAUUAAUGGCUGGAGAUAUUCAUGUUGAGUUCUUUUAGUCUGAUUGAGCCGUGCCAAUAUC